GAGUGAUCGAAAGAUGAAAAGCACUUUGAAAAGAGAGUUAAACAGCACGUGAAAUUGUUGAAAGGGAAGCGUUUGCGACCAGACUCGCCCGCGGGGUUCAGCCGGCACUCGUGCCGGUGUACWUCCCCGUGGGCGGGCCAGCGUCGGUUUGGGCGGCCGGUCAAAGGCCCUCGGAAUGUAUCACCUCUCGGGGUGUCUUAUAGCCGAGGGUGCAAUGCGGCCUGCCCGGACCGAGGAACGCGYUCGGY
RNAcentral lists this ribosomal RNA (248 nucleotides) under Aspergillus fischeri var. fischeri. RNAcentral describes it as "partial large subunit ribosomal RNA". It matches the Rfam family "Eukaryotic large subunit ribosomal RNA", at positions 351 to 606 of the family's 3401-position model. The record is from RNAcentral. Lineage: Eukaryota; Fungi; Ascomycota; Eurotiomycetes; Eurotiales; Aspergillaceae.